Non-coding RNA from Cyanistes caeruleus (blue tit), 301 nucleotides. The record is from RefSeq and is a predicted model, not a curated record. NCBI's taxonomy places the organism in Eukaryota, Metazoa, Chordata, Aves, Passeriformes, Paridae.
ACCGAGCGCGUCUACGACGACGACUUCUUCGAGGGGCUGGACGGCGUCGCCAACGCGCUGGACAACGUGGAUGCUCGGCUGUACAUGGACCGGCGCUGCGUUUAUUACCGGAAGCCGCUGCUGGAGUCGGGCACGCUGGGCACCAAGGGCAACGUGCAGGUGGUGAUCCCGUUCCUGAGCGAGUCCUACAGCUCCAGCCAGGACCCCCCCGAGAAGGCCAUUCCCAUCUGCACCCUCAAGAACUUCCCCAACGCCAUCGAGCACACGCUGCAGUGGGCGCGUGACGAGUUCGAGGGGCUCU